RNAcentral lists this long non-coding RNA (240 nucleotides) under Ananas comosus (pineapple). RNAcentral's name for it is "long non-coding RNA (ACOM_LNC044239)". The record is from RNAcentral. Lineage: Eukaryota; Viridiplantae; Streptophyta; Magnoliopsida; Poales; Bromeliaceae.
AUGAGGAGAGAGUAUCUGCAUCUAUUCGAGUCGACGAGUUAAGGUAUGCGUAAUUUCGCUGAUGAAAUUAUUUUUAAGGGGUGGAGAAUGUAAUAUACCGAAAAUUCAGAAAGUAAAUAUCGAACUUUAGUCGAAUUGACCAAAGUGCGAGGACGGUACACUUCGGAAAGUCCGAAGGUGUUAAAAUGAUCAAAAGUGCGUUGUGGAAGGUUUUCGAGAGCUAAAGAAUCAAAUUCUGCA